This 22-nucleotide microRNA is filed under the name Ictalurus punctatus (channel catfish). RNAcentral's name for it is "ipu-miR-7553". Lineage: Eukaryota; Metazoa; Chordata; Actinopteri; Siluriformes; Ictaluridae. The record is from miRBase by way of RNAcentral.
UGACGUCAUUAGCGACCCGACC